RNAcentral lists this ribosomal RNA (497 nucleotides) under uncultured bacterium. RNAcentral's name for it is "partial 16S ribosomal RNA". It matches the Rfam family "Bacterial small subunit ribosomal RNA", at positions 28 to 507 of the family's 1533-position model. The record is from RNAcentral.
GAUGAACGCUGGCGGCGUGCCUAAUACAUGCAAGUCGAGCGAACGGACGAGAAGCUUGCUUCUCUGAUGUUAGCGGCGGACGGGUGAGUAACACGUGGAUAACCUACCUAUAAGACUGGGAUAACUUCGGGAAACCGGAGCUAAGACCGGAUAAUAUUUUGAACCGCAUGGUUCAAAAGUGAAAGACGGUCUUGCUGUCACUUAUAGCUGGAUCCGCGCUGCAUUAGCUAGUUGGUAAGGUAACGGCUUACCAAGGCAACGAUGCAUAGCCGACCUGAAAGGGUGAUCGGCCACCCUGGAACUGAGACACGGUCCAGACUCCUACGGUAGGCAGCAGCAGGGAAUCUUCCGCAAUGGGCGAGUGCCUGACGGAGCAACGCCGCGUGAGUGAUGAUGGUCUUCGGAUCGUAAAACUCUGUUAUUAGGGAAGAACAUAUGUGUAAGUAACUGUGCACAUCUUGACGGUACCUAAUCAGAAAGCCACGGCUAACUACGUG